This 621-nucleotide ribosomal RNA is filed under the name uncultured bacterium. RNAcentral describes it as "bacterial SSU rRNA". It matches the Rfam family "Bacterial small subunit ribosomal RNA", at positions 50 to 717 of the family's 1533-position model. The record is from RNAcentral.
AACACAUGCAAGUCGAGCGCGACCUUCGGGUUGAGCGGCGGACGGGUUAGUAACGCGUGGGAAUAUGCCCAAAGGUACGGAAUAGCCUCUGGAAACGGAGAGUAAUACCGUAUGUGCCCUUCGGGGGAAAGAUUUAUCGCCUUUGGAUUAGCCCGCGUUAGAUUAGGUAGUUGGUGGGGUAAUGGCCUACCAAGCCUACGAUCUAUAGCUGGUUUUAGAGGAUGAUCAGCAACACUGGGACUGAGACACGGCCCAGACUCCUACGGGAGGCAGCAGUGGGGAAUCUUGGACAAUGGGCGCAAGCCUGAUCCAGCCAUGCCGCGUGAGUGAUGAAGGCCUUAGGGUCGUAAAGCUCUUUCGCCAGGGAUGAUAAUGACAGUACCUGGUAAAGAAACCCCGGCUAACUCCGUGCCAGCAGCCGCGGUAAUACGGAGGGGGUUAGCGUUGUUCGGAAUUACAGGGCGUAAAGCGCGCGUAGGCGGAUCGGAAAGUUGGGGGUGAAAUCCCGGGGCUCAACCCCGGAACUGCCUCCAAAACUAUCGGUCUAGAGUUCGAGAGAGGUGAGUGGAAUUCCGAGUGUAGAGGUGAAAUUCGUAGAUAUUCGGAGGAACACCAGUGGCG